UACCCGCUGAAACUAAGCAUAUCAAUAAGCGGAGGAAAAGAAACUAACAAGGAUUCCCCUAGUAACUGCGAGUGAAGCGGGAAGAGCUCAAAUUUGAAAUCUGGCGGUUCUGCCGUCCGAGUUGUAAUCUGGAGAAGCGUUUUCCGUGCCGGACCGUGUACAAGUCCCUUGGAACAGGGCGUCAUAGAGGGUGAGAAUCCCGUCUUUGACACGGACUCCCGGUGCUCUGCGAUGCGCUCUCGAAGAGUCGAGUUGUUUGGGAAUGCAGCUCAAAAUGGGUGGUAAAUUCCAUCUAAAGCUAAAUAUUGGCGAGAGACCGAUAGCGAACAAGUACCGUGAGGGAAAGAUGAAAAGCACUUUGGAAAGAGAGUAAAACAGUACGUGAAAUUGUUGAAAGGGAAACGCUUGGAGUCAGUCGCGUCUUCCGGAACUCAGCCUUGCUUCUGCUAGGUGCACUUUCCGGUUCGACGGGUCAGCAUCGGCUUUGGGAGGCGGACAAAGGCGCGGGGAAGGUGGCAGCUCCGGCUGUGUUAUAGCCCCGCGUUGUACGCGUCUCCCGGGACCGAGGAAUCCGGCGCUCGUCGCCUGGGAUGCUGGCGUAAUGGCUUUAAGCGACCCGUCUUGAAACACGGACCAAGGAGUGCUACAUGCUCGCGAGUGUUUGGGUGGAAAACCCGAGCGCGCAAUGAAAGUGAAAGUCGAGACCCUUUGCGGGGGCACCGACGCCCGAGCCUGAAGUUUACGGACGGCCUUGCGGUAGAGCGAGUAUGUUGCGACCCGAAAGAUGGUGAACUAUUCCUGAGGAGGGCGAAGCCAGAGGAAACUCUGGUGGAGGCUCGUAGCGGUUCUGACGUGCAAAUCGAUCGCAGGACUUGGGUAUAGGGGCGAAAGACUAAUCGAACYCAUCUAGUAGCUGGUUCCUGC
This 924-nucleotide ribosomal RNA is filed under the name Subulicystidium perlongisporum. RNAcentral's name for it is "partial large subunit ribosomal RNA". It matches the Rfam family "Eukaryotic large subunit ribosomal RNA", at positions 22 to 961 of the family's 3401-position model. Lineage: Eukaryota; Fungi; Basidiomycota; Agaricomycetes; Trechisporales; Hydnodontaceae. The record is from RNAcentral.